UACAGAGGUCUCAAGCGUUGUUCGGAUUCAUUGGGCGUAAAGGGUGCGUAGGCGGCGCGGUAAGUCGGGUGUGAAAUCUUGGAGCUUAACUCCGAAACUGCAUUCGAUACUGCCGUGCUUGAGGACUGGAGAGGAGACUGGAAUUUACGGUGUAGCGGUGAAAUGCGUAGAUAUCGUAAGGAAGACCAGUGGCGAAAGCGGCUCUCUGGCCCGGAUCUGACGCUGAGGCGCGAAAGCGUGGGGAGCAAACAGG
RNAcentral lists this ribosomal RNA (253 nucleotides) under uncultured bacterium. RNAcentral's name for it is "partial 16S ribosomal RNA". It matches the Rfam family "Bacterial small subunit ribosomal RNA", at positions 524 to 776 of the family's 1533-position model. The record is from RNAcentral.